UACGAAGGGGGCUAGCGUUGCUCGGAAUCACUGGGCGUAAAGCGCACGUAGGCGGAUCUUUAAGUCAGGGGUGAAAUCCUGGAGCUCAACUCCAGAACUGCCUUCGAUACUGCGGGUCUCGAGUCCGGGAGAGGUGAGUGGAAUUCCUAGUGUAGAGAUGAAAUUCGUAGAUAUUAGGAAGAACACCAGUGGCGAAGGCGGCUCACUGGCCCGGUACUGACGCUGAGGCGCGAAAGCGUGGGGAGCAAACAGG
This 253-nucleotide ribosomal RNA is filed under the name uncultured bacterium. RNAcentral describes it as "partial 16S ribosomal RNA". It matches the Rfam family "Bacterial small subunit ribosomal RNA", at positions 524 to 776 of the family's 1533-position model. The record is from RNAcentral.